UCCAGACUCCUACGGGAGGCAGCAGUAGGGAAUAUUGCACAAUGGGGGAAACCCUGAUGCAGCAACGCCGCGUGAGUGAAGAAGUAUUUCGGUAUGUAAAGCUCUAUCAGCAGGGAAGAAGAAGGACGGUACCUGACUAAGAAGCCCCGGCUAACUACGUGCCAGCAGCCGCGGUAAUACGUAGGGGGCGAGCGUUAUCCGGAUUCACUGGGUGUAAAGGGAGCGUAGACGGCGACGCAAGUCUGGAGUGAAAGCCCGGGGCCCAACCCCGGGACUGCUCUGGAAACUGCGGCGCUGGAGUACGGGAGGGGCAGGCGGAAUUCCUGGUGUAGCGGUGAAAUGCGUAGAUAUCAGGAAGAACACCAGUGGCGAAGGCGGCUUUCUGGACUGAAACUGACGCUGAGGCACGAAAGCGUGGGGAGCGAACAGGAUUAGAUACCCGCGUAA
RNAcentral lists this ribosomal RNA (447 nucleotides) under uncultured bacterium. RNAcentral describes it as "partial 16S ribosomal RNA". It matches the Rfam family "Bacterial small subunit ribosomal RNA", at positions 330 to 793 of the family's 1533-position model. The record is from RNAcentral.